CCUACGGGUGGCUGCAGUCGAGAAUCAUUCACAAUGGGGGAAACCCUGAUGCUGCGACGCCGCGUGGGGGAAUGAAGGUCUUCGGAUUGUAAACCCCUGUCAUGUGGGAGCAAAUUAGACAGAUAGUACCCCAAGCGGAAGUGACGGCUAAAUCUGUGCCAGCAGACGCGGUAAUACAGAGGUCGCAAGCGGUGUUCGUAAUCACUGGGCGUAAAGCGUGCGUAGGCUGUUUCGUAAGUCGCGUGUGAAAGACGCGGGGUCAACCCGCGGACUGCACAUGAUACUGCGAGACUAGAGUAAUGGAGGGGGAACCGGAAUGCUCGGUGUAGCAGUGAAAUGCGUAGAUAUCGAGAGGAACACUCGUGGCGAAGGCGGGUUCCUGGACAUUAACUGACGCUGAGGCACGAAGGCCAGGGGAGCGAAAGGGAUUAGAUACCCCUGUAGUC
Molecule: ribosomal RNA, 446 nt
Filed under: uncultured bacterium
Lineage: Bacteria
Description: partial 16S ribosomal RNA
Rfam family: Bacterial small subunit ribosomal RNA
Source: RNAcentral